Molecule: non-coding RNA, 107 nt
Organism: Caerostris darwini
Lineage: Eukaryota; Metazoa; Arthropoda; Arachnida; Araneae; Araneidae
Source: the annotation of a GenBank genome assembly
AACGGCCAUACCAUGCUGAAUAUACCGGUUCCCGUUAGAUCACCGAAGUCAAGCAUCAUUGGGCGCGGUCAGUACUUGGGUAAUACCUGGGAACCCCGCGUGCCGUU